Unclassified non-coding RNA from Chelonoidis abingdonii (Abingdon island giant tortoise), 172 nucleotides. The record is from Ensembl. NCBI's taxonomy places the organism in Eukaryota, Metazoa, Chordata, Testudines, Testudinidae.
GAGACAGACCUCAAGACCUCUCUUUGUCACCUCAAUAGCUACAGCCAGGCCAGCAGCAGUUCAUAUUUCCCCACAUGGCAUUGCCAAUGUGCUCCAACCUUACAUUGGAGGGCCCACCUUUAGGGGUAAGAAAGGAGCUCAGUCUUCAUGGCCCAUGCCAUCCACAGCCUCU